Molecule: ribosomal RNA, 465 nt
Filed under: Vreelandella stevensii
Lineage: Bacteria; Pseudomonadati; Pseudomonadota; Gammaproteobacteria; Oceanospirillales; Halomonadaceae
Description: partial 16S ribosomal RNA
Rfam family: Bacterial small subunit ribosomal RNA
Source: RNAcentral
CCUACGGGUGGCAGCAGUGGGGAAUAUUGGACAAUGGGCGAAAGCCUGAUCCAGCCAUGCCGCGUGUGUGAAGAAGGCCUUCGGGUUGUAAAGCACUUUCAGUGGGGAAGAAAGCCUUGGGGCUAAUACCCUCGAGGAAGGACAUCACCCACAGAAGAAGCACCGGCUAACUCCGUGCCAGCAGCCGCGGUAAUACGGAGGGUGCGAGCGUUAAUCGGAAUUACUGGGCGUAAAGCGCGCGUAGGCGGUCUGAUAAGCCGGUUGUGAAAGCCCCGGGCUCAACCUGGGAACGGCAUCCGGAACUGUCAGGCUAGAGUGCAGGAGAGGAAGGUAGAAUUCCCGGUGUAGCGGUGAAAUGCGUAGAGAGCGGGAGGAAUACCAGUGGCGAAGGCGGUCUUCUGGACUGACACUGACGCUGAGGUGCGAAAGCGUGGGUAGCAAACAGGAUUAGAUACCCGAGUAGUC